This 436-nucleotide ribosomal RNA is filed under the name uncultured bacterium. RNAcentral describes it as "bacterial SSU rRNA". It matches the Rfam family "Bacterial small subunit ribosomal RNA", at positions 29 to 507 of the family's 1533-position model. The record is from RNAcentral.
AGCGAACGCUGGCGGCAGGCUUAACACAUGCAAGUCGAACGGGCGUAGCAAUACGUCAGUGGCAGACGGGUGAGUAACGCGUGGGAACGUACCUUUUGGUUCGGAACAACACAGGGAAACUUGUGCUAAUACCGGAUAAGCCCUUACGGGGAAAGAUUUAUCGCCGAAAGAUCGGCCCGCGUCUGAUUAGCUAGUUGGUGAGGUAACGGCUCACCAAGGCGACGAUCAGUAGCUGGUCUGAGAGGAUGAUCAGCCACAUUGGGACUGAGACACGGCCCAAACUCCUACGGGAGGCAGCAGUGGGGAAUAUUGGACAAUGGGCGCAAGCCUGAUCCAGCCAUGCCGCGUGAGUGAUGAAGGCCCUAGGGUUGUAAAGCUCUUUUGUGCGGGAAGAUAAUGACGGUACCGCAAGAAUAAGCCCCGGCUAACCUUCGUG